UCCCUACGGGGGGCAGCAGUGGGGAAUUUUGGACAAUGGGCGCAAGCCUGAUCCAGCUAUUCCGCGUGUGGGAUGAAGGCCCUCGGGUUGUAAACCACUUUUGUAGAGAACGAAAAGACACCUUCGAAUAAAGGGUGUUGCUGACGGUACUCUAAGAAUAAGCACCGGCUAACUACGUGCCAGCAGACGCGGUAAUACGUAGGGUGCGAGCGUUAGUCGGAAUUGCUGGGUGUAAAGGGUGCGGAGGCGGUUGAGGAAGACAGAUGUGAAAUCCCCGAGCUUAACGCGGGACUGGCAUAUGUGAC
Molecule: ribosomal RNA, 305 nt
Filed under: uncultured bacterium
Lineage: Bacteria
Description: bacterial SSU rRNA
Rfam family: Bacterial small subunit ribosomal RNA
Source: RNAcentral